RNAcentral lists this ribosomal RNA (274 nucleotides) under uncultured bacterium. Its description in RNAcentral is "partial 16S ribosomal RNA". It matches the Rfam family "Bacterial small subunit ribosomal RNA", at positions 523 to 796 of the family's 1533-position model. The record is from RNAcentral.
AUACAGAGGGUGCGAGCGUUAAUCGGAAUGACUGGGCGUAAAGCGCGCGUAGGGGGUCUAUUAAGUCAGAUGUGAAAUCCCAGGGCUCAACCUUGGAACUGCAUCUGAUACUGGUAGACUAGAGUUUUGGAGAGGGAAGUAGAAUUUCAGGUGUAGCGGUGAAAUGCAUAGAGAUCUGAAGGAAUACCAGUGGCGAAGGCGACUGCCUGGCCAAAAACUGACGCUGAGGCGCGAAAGCGUGGGUAGCAAACGGGAUUAGAUACCCCAGUAGUCC